AGGUGUGGAUUUUGUAUGUUUAGCACGUGGUAUUGGUUUGUUAUGUACUUAAUGCUAAAAGUGUAUAUGAUGGGGUAUAAUACGCAAUCGUUGCUCUACUUUAUAGACGGUAGUACUAUCGCUCUCACUCUAUCUACCACCAUUAACACCUCUCUCUCUAUAUCUAUCUCUUUUGUGGACCAAUCUUUAUUCUCUCGAGCUUGGAAUUACAAGAUCUUUAUAUAGCAUGGAGUACUCAAUCAAGGAUGACGUGACUCAAUUGAUAGGUAACACUCCAAUGGUGUACCUAAACAACAUUGUAGAUGGCUGCGUUGCACGUAUCGCCGCUAAGCUUGAGAUGAUGCAGCCUUGCUCUAGUGUCAAGGACAGAAUUGCUUAUGGAAUGAUUAAAGAUGCUGAAGACAAGGGACUCAUUUCUCCCGGCAAGAACAUAUUGAUUGAGCCAACAUCUGGUAACACCGGGAUUGGUAUAGCAAUGGUCGGAGCAGCUAGAGGUUACAAAGUUGUGAUUACAAUGCCUGCAUCAGUGAGCAUUGAGAGAAGAAUCAUUCUUCUAGCAUUAGGUGCAGAGCUUCACCUCACGGAUCCAAGCAAAGGCGUUAUAGGAGUCAUUGUCAAAGCUGAAGAGAUAUUAAGCAAAACUCCAGAUGGUUUCAUGCUAGAGCAAUUCAGAAACCCUUCAAACCCACAAUCUCAUUACGAAACCACUGGUCCAGAGAUAUGGAGAGACUGUGCAGAGAAAGUAGAUAUGUUGGUUGUUGGUGUUGGGACUGGUGGAACGAUCUCUGGAGCAGGGAAGUUCCUCAAGGAGAAGAAUAAAGACUUUAAGGUUUAUGGGGUGGAACCUGCAGAGAGUGCUGUACUCAGUGGAGGGCAACCUGGUCCACAUGGGAUUCAAGGUAUUGGGGCUGGACUCAUCCCAGACAAUUUGGAUUUUAGCGUUCUUGAUGAAGUCAUUCAAGUGACAAGUGUGGAAGCAAUUGAAACAGCCAAACUUCUUGCCCUGAAAGAAGGAUUACUGGUUGGAAUAUCAUCCGGAGCUGCUGCGGCCGCUGCUAUAAAAGUGGCAAAACGGCCAGAAAACGCUGGGAAGCUCAUAGUUGUGGUUUUCCCGAGUGGCGGGGAACGUUACUUAUCGACUCCAAUGUUCGACUCGAUCAGAUGCGAAGCAGAGAAUUUGGCAAUUGAAUGAGAGAGACUUAUCAUCCACUACUACUACUACUUAAUUCGGUUCGGUUAUGUAAUAAAGUAUCAAGAUACCGGUUUUCUCAUUUUUGACAACACAUAAGAAGUGUUGUUUGACUUGAGAUGACGUAAUAUUGCUUCCACAAUAAAUUAAGAAAAUUCUACACA
This is an RNA transcript of Brassica napus (rape), 1353 nucleotides long. It is a transcript of the gene named bifunctional L-3-cyanoalanine synthase/cysteine synthase D1-like, with no coding region annotated. The record is from RefSeq and is a predicted model, not a curated record. The transcript has 11 exons. Lineage: Eukaryota; Viridiplantae; Streptophyta; Magnoliopsida; Brassicales; Brassicaceae.